GACGAACGCUGGCGGCGUGCUUAACACAUGCAAGUCGAACGGAAAGGCCCUGCUUUUGUGGGGUGCUCGAGUGGCGAACGGGUGAGUAACACGUGAGUAACCUGCCCUUGACUUUGGGAUAACUUCAGGAAACUGGGGCUAAUACCGGAUAGGAGCUCCUGCUGCAUGGUGGGGGUUGGAAAGUCUCGGCGGUUGGGGAUGGACUGGCGGGUUAUCAGCUUGUUGGUGGGGUAGUGGCUUACCAAGGCUUUGACGGGUAGCCGGCCUGAGAGGGUGACCGGCCACAUUGGGACUGAGAUACGGCCCAGACUGCUACGGGAGGCAGCAGGGGGGAAUAUUGCACAAUGGGCGGAAGCCUGAUGCAGCAACGCCGCGUGCGGGAUGACGGCCUUCGGGGUGUAAACCGCUUUCGCCUGUGACGAAGCGUGAGUGACGGUAAUGGGUAAAGAAGCACCGGCUAACUACGUG
RNAcentral lists this ribosomal RNA (468 nucleotides) under uncultured bacterium. RNAcentral describes it as "partial 16S ribosomal RNA". It matches the Rfam family "Bacterial small subunit ribosomal RNA", at positions 28 to 507 of the family's 1533-position model. The record is from RNAcentral.